Mercenaria mercenaria is the source of this 472-nucleotide long non-coding RNA. RefSeq lists it as uncharacterized. The record is from RefSeq and is a predicted model, not a curated record. The transcript has 2 exons. Lineage: Eukaryota; Metazoa; Mollusca; Bivalvia; Venerida; Veneridae.
AUGUAAUUAAUGGUCUAAUAUGUAGAUGAUAAUCAGAAAUAUUUGACGUUUCGCCAAUGUAAGCUGUCGCUCAACUUACCUUGCGACCAGUGCAGACCAAGACCAGCCGGCACAUCCGUGCAGGCUGAUCAUAGUCUACACUCUUCGCUGUUCCGUCAGCAAAUUUUCAGUGAACACUCCUUUGAAUAAUAUGUGAUACUGCCAAAAUUGAAUGAUGGACCAUUUUUAAUGUUAAAAUGCAUGUAUGCUCAUUCGCAGAAAUGUCCGUUGUGAAACGUUACGACUGCGACGCUCAUUGCAGCUAUCCUGGAGGAUGUUGGGGACAACAUGGAGCAUGCAGUGGAAUCUGCUACUGUUAUGGGAGCGGGUUAGCGUACAGAUGUUAUUACUGCGACGUCUAAACAACUGCCAUAAAUAUCUAAACAGUUGUCAUGAACUGAAGAUAUAUUAAAUACAUGUAUAUAUCACCAAA